RNAcentral lists this transfer RNA (76 nucleotides) under Methylococcus sp. Its description in RNAcentral is "tRNA-Phe". It matches the Rfam family "tRNA". Rfam says of the family: Transfer RNA (tRNA) molecules are approximately 80 nucleotides in length. The record is from RNAcentral. Lineage: Bacteria; Pseudomonadati; Pseudomonadota; Gammaproteobacteria; Methylococcales; Methylococcaceae. RNAcentral also lists the same sequence under 16 other names.
GGCCAAGUAGCUCAGUUGGUAGAGCAGGGGAUUGAAAAUCCCCGUGUCGGCGGUUCGAUUCCGUCCUUGGCCACCA